AUGGGGAACACAUCUGGCAAGCUCUCCUGCCUCGGCGAUUUACGGCUCAGCUGCUGUGGCGAGAAGCCAUCUUCUCCGGUGCCGGAGCCGGCGCCGGCGCCAGUCGACAGCUAUCCACCACCACCAGCGCCGGCUGCUCCUGUCCCUCCUCCUCAUGCUUCUCCAGGUCCAGAUAAUAUUGGUAAUCUUGUUCUAGAGCUCUAUGCAGGCGGUCAUCUGUAUGAUAGGCUGGUGGUUCCUCGAUCUGCCUCAAAUCAUGUGCUAAUACUUGACAUAGCGAAGGCGGUUUUGAAAGCCACCUCCAAUUUCUUACCGCCACAAGCGGUUUUGCACACACAAUUACCUCCACCUUUUGUCACGCUGAUGGAGGUAAAUCCAGCAAAUCUCGAGAGUGUUAGGUUUGGUUGCCCACACAGUGAAGCCAGAUGA
This 429-nucleotide ribosomal RNA is filed under the name Triticum aestivum (bread wheat). RNAcentral's name for it is "partial small subunit ribosomal RNA". Lineage: Eukaryota; Viridiplantae; Streptophyta; Magnoliopsida; Poales; Poaceae. The record is from RNAcentral.